CCUACGGGAGGCAGCAGUGGGGAAUAUUGCACAAUGGGGGAAACCCUGAUGCAGCGACGCCGCGUGAGUGAAGAAGUAAUUCGUUAUGUAAAGCUCUAUCAGCAGGGAAGAAAAUGACGGUACCUGAGUAAGAAGCACCGGCUAACUACGUGCCAGCAGCCGAGGUAAUACGUAGGGGGCAAGCGUUAUCCGGAUUUACUGGGUGGAAAGGGAGCGUAGACGGCAGUGCAAGUCUUGAGUGAAAGGCGGGGGCUCAACCCCCGGACUGCUCUGGAAACUGUACGGCUGGAGUGCAGGAGAGGUAAGUGGAAUUCCUAGUGUAGCGGUGAAAUGCGUAGAUAUUAGGAGGAACACCAGUGGCGAAGGCGGCUUACUGGACUGUAACUGACGUUGAGGCUCGAAAGCGUGGGGAGCAAACAGGAUUAGAUACCCCUGUAGUC
Molecule: ribosomal RNA, 440 nt
Filed under: uncultured bacterium
Lineage: Bacteria
Description: partial 16S ribosomal RNA
Rfam family: Bacterial small subunit ribosomal RNA
Source: RNAcentral